UUUCGCAAUGCCCGAAAGGGUGACGAAGCGACGCCGCGUGCGGGAAGAAGGCCUUCGGGUUGUAAACCGCUGUCGGGAGUUAAGAAAUGUAAGGAUGUUAAUAGCAUCUUUGCUUGACUAAGGCUCCGGAGGAAGCCACGGCUAACUCUGUGCCAGCAGCCGCGGUAAUACAGAGGCGGCAAGCGUUGUUCGGAAUUUUUGGGCGUAAAGAGCACGUAGGCGGCUAUGUAAGUCGGUUGUGAAAGCCUUCCGCUCAACGGGAGAACAGCAUCCGAUACUGCAUGGCUUGAGUGCGGGAGGGGAGAGUGGAACUUCUGGUGGAGCGGUGAAAUGCGUAGAUAUCAGAAGGAACGCCGGCGGCGAAAGCGGCUCUCUGGCCCAUAACUGACGCUGAGUGUGCGAAAGCUAGGGGAGCAAACGGGAUUAGAUACCCCGGUAGUCCUAGCCGUAAACGAUGGGCACUAAGUAGAGGGGUUUUA
RNAcentral lists this ribosomal RNA (479 nucleotides) under uncultured Planctomycetota bacterium. Its description in RNAcentral is "bacterial SSU rRNA". It matches the Rfam family "Bacterial small subunit ribosomal RNA", at positions 364 to 833 of the family's 1533-position model. The record is from RNAcentral. Lineage: Bacteria; Pseudomonadati; Planctomycetota.